GUGCUGCCUUUAGAGCAGAACAUGUUUAAGGAAGUAUCUAGUGCCAGGGAAAGACUUGGACAUCUAGGGCUAAUACACAUGCCGCUGUUGUUUCUCCGCCAUUCACACUGAUGCUGCCUAACGACACAUCAGACUACGUUCCCAACUCUUAAUGUUCUCACUUGAGGGAGAACUGGAGCGAGAGCAGGCCAGAUUUCCCUCUGGUUUCCUCCCAGUGAUACUUGCUGAAGUCAGCAGCACCUAAAGACCAGCAAACCUGUGGAGAAGUUCCUGGGGUGAUUCUGCCCCGGCAGCAGACUAACAUUUGGCAUCCUUGUUAGUAUUCACAGCACGUGGGAGAUGUACUGGGGCCUUUGGACAUCAACCCUUCCCAACCUUCUUGGUGAGAGAGGGAGCGUGGCUCUAGAGAAAGUCUGGAUUCCUACUUAACUUCAUAUUCAGAGUAAUACCUGAUGAGAUGAAAUGGGAAAGCAACCUAUGCUGUUCAAAAGGUGUCUUCAAGAUGAUCUUGAAGGACUAUGUUUGGGAGAGGGAGAAGCAGAAUUUACAUCACAUGAUUUAUCAGUUGAAAGUGCUGUUCUAGCACACUUCGUAUACCGCAUGUGAUUCUUAGCUGGAGAAAGCAGCACCUGAUACAGCAUUUCCCUGCGUUAACCUCUGACACCAGCAUUACAUCAGAAA
Dromaius novaehollandiae (emu) is the source of this 681-nucleotide long non-coding RNA. RefSeq lists it as uncharacterized. The transcript is spliced from 6 exons. Lineage: Eukaryota; Metazoa; Chordata; Aves; Casuariiformes; Dromaiidae. The record is from RefSeq and is a predicted model, not a curated record.